RNAcentral lists this ribosomal RNA (495 nucleotides) under uncultured bacterium. RNAcentral's name for it is "partial 16S ribosomal RNA". It matches the Rfam family "Bacterial small subunit ribosomal RNA", at positions 28 to 507 of the family's 1533-position model. The record is from RNAcentral.
GACGAACGCUGGCGGCGUGCCUAAUACAUGCAAGUAGAACGCUGAAGGAGGAGCUUGCUUCUCUGGAUGAGUUGCGAACGGGUGAGUAACGCGUAGGUAACCUGCCUGGUAGCGGGGGAUAACUAUUGGAAACGAUAGCUAAUACCGCAUAAUAGUAGAUGUUGCAUGACAUUUGCUUAAAAGGUGCAAUUGCAUCACUACCAGAUGGACCUGCGUUGUAUUAGCUAGUUGGUGAGGUAACGGCUCACCAAGGCAACGAUACAUAGCCGACCUGAGAGGGUGAUCGGCCACACUGGGACUGAGACACGGCCCAGAAUCCCACGGGAGGCAGCAGUAGGGAAUCUUCGGCAAUGGACGGAAGGCUGACCGAGCAACGCCGCGGGAGUGAAGAAGGGUUUCGGAUCGGAAAGCUCUGUUGUAAGAGAAGAACGAGUGUGAGAGUGGAAAGUUCACACUGUGACGGUAGCUUACCAGAAAGGGACGGCUAACUACGUG